This 888-nucleotide long non-coding RNA is filed under the name Citrus maxima (pomelo). RNAcentral describes it as "long non-coding RNA (CMAX_LNC003730)". The record is from RNAcentral. Lineage: Eukaryota; Viridiplantae; Streptophyta; Magnoliopsida; Sapindales; Rutaceae.
AAGAUUUAAUACGCUUUAAUUAGAAUGUAACCUAAUAGCAUUGCCUGUAUCAUCGACUGCCUCAGUUGCGUCAGCGAAAUUCUGUGCCAAUUGCAAGGAGGGAAAAAAAAAAAAAAAAUACAAUCCAGCAAUCAUAGCCGCCAGAGGCUACCACUACCAAACUCCCCGGCCUCCAAUGACCAAAAAACGAACAACCUCCGGCCCUGAACAGCCGGAAACACCGACGACACCACCAAGUCCGCGAGUUCCACUGUCUGCUCCACACCAUAUCCGCCGCCUCACCGUCAAUAAGACCCACCUUCACAUUCAUCAGACACCGGCGACCACACAUCAGCGUCGUCAACGUCAAUCACCGCCCGGAACAACCACACGAACGCCACAAAACCGCCGCCACUUUGUUUCUGAGUUUCGCGUCAAUCCGCUGUUAUUCUGAUCAUCCAAUUAUUCUUGAUUGAUUAUUGAAUUAUUCGAUUCUCAAAUUUACCUUUAUCGGCAUUAUUUUAUUAUCAGAAAGAUGGGAGGCAAUUCCUUUGUUUAUUCUGAUUCUGAUUUAUAAGAGGUUUCAUGAAUAGGGUUUUGCUUCUAUGUUAAGUUUUGAGUCUUUUUGUAGCUUAUAUAGCUAGCCUCAUUUACACUAAGCUAGGUAGCUUUCUGAGGAGCAAAUACUUAGUAUACUCAAAAAGAGCACAUCAUGAGUAGUACUAGCCCCCAGAAAGACCCUUCUCCUAAGCAGAAGCCUGAUGAAUCAACACAAAAAAGCCUCAGCGGGUCAACGGAAGCGUGCUCGCGCGACUUUCAGAGAAAGUCAGACGAGACUGAAAAAAUGUUUAGAAGAUCCCAAGAGUCCCAAGAAAAUGGAUGUUUAAUUUUAUAAAUCUUCGUAUGAAC